UUGUUGGCCACCCUGUGAAGGUGCAGGAGGUUUUUGGCCAUGCCAUGAAGGUGCAGGAGGUUGUUGGCCAUGCCGUGAAAUGCCAGAUCUGAUGGGCCGGGUGGGGCUAAAGAGCGGCAGGUGAAAAACAAGGCGGAGAAGAGAAGACAAUGGCAGGUGCCCAGAAGCCGUGGGAUGAUGUGGAGUGAGUCACAAGUUACCAGGAAGGAUGGCAGAAGUGUUUCAAGCAGGUUAUCGAGGCCUUGCAUGGGGUGACAGCUUGCAAGAGCCGAGGACUGGCGUGAUCCGCCCUCCAUUCUUCACCUCGAUAAGAGAUCGGUGCAGGACAGAAGGAAAAGGUUGAACCUUUGAGUAGGACUCAUCCCUUAGCUGAACCCGCAGCGCAGUAGCUCACGUUGGGGUGUUUUCAGCGCUGUAAGCAAUCAGCUCGCCAGGCCAGGUUUGUCCUCACUUUGAGUUUCAGAGGAAAGAAUCAGCGUCAUCGAUUAUUGUGUGUGUG
This is a long non-coding RNA of Oxyura jamaicensis (ruddy duck), 499 nucleotides long. RefSeq lists it as uncharacterized. Lineage: Eukaryota; Metazoa; Chordata; Aves; Anseriformes; Anatidae. The record is from RefSeq and is a predicted model, not a curated record. The transcript has 4 exons.